UACGUAGGGUGCGAGCGUUGUCCGGAAUUAUUGGGCGUAAAGAGCUUGUAGGCGGUUUGUCGCGUCUGCUGUGAAAAUCCGGGGCUCAACCCCGGACUUGCAGUGGGUACGGGCAGACUGGAGUGUGGUAGGGGAGACUGGAAUUCCUGGUGUAGCGGUGAAAUGCGCAGAUAUCAGGAAGAACACCCGUGGCGAAAGCGGCUCUCUGGAACGGUACUGACGCUGAGACGCGAAAGCGUGGGGAGCGAACAGG
Molecule: ribosomal RNA, 253 nt
Filed under: uncultured bacterium
Lineage: Bacteria
Description: partial 16S ribosomal RNA
Rfam family: Bacterial small subunit ribosomal RNA
Source: RNAcentral